Molecule: long non-coding RNA, 827 nt
Filed under: Helianthus annuus (common sunflower)
Lineage: Eukaryota; Viridiplantae; Streptophyta; Magnoliopsida; Asterales; Asteraceae
Description: hypothetical non coding rna
Source: RNAcentral
UCACCAUAUUCUCUCCUGUCAAUCACACUUCUCUGCCUCACACUAAAAAAUCACCAAUGUUUUGUAAAAUUGAACACAUAAUUGAUGCAAUUACGGUGUCCAGAUCGGCUCUGCAAUUGUUACGGCAGCUGCGGCUAGUGGUUCUGGCGUAGGUGGGUUUCAGACUUGUGGUAGUUUGCAAGUGAAAUUAAGGGUUGGAUCCAUGUGAUUAGGGCUUUGAUGUGGUGGUUUGCAGGUGCAAUUAGGGGUUAUGUUGUUUGGUUCGAUUUGCUCCAGGUGUAGCAGUGGUAGUGGUGGGCCGGUGCUAAUGGCGGGUUGGUUGUGAUGGCAGAUGGUGAUGAUGGAAACAAGUGGUGAUGAUGGUCGUGGUUGUUUUUAAAUGGUGGUGAUGGUAGUUCAUAGUGGUUCGGUGGAUGAUGACUGUUUCAGUGUUAACGGACUCUAGUGGUGGUUGGGGAAGACAGUGUUUGGAUUAACUUAUUUUGGAGCUACUUUUGACUUAUUAACUUCUUAGAAGUUAAAAGGAACCCCAAACAUCCCAUGAGAAGGACUUUUAGGGUUAAAAGGAAUUCCAAACACCUUCUCAGAAGGACUUUUAUGUCUUGAAUUAGCUUUAAAAAGGAGAAAUUGAGAAGUUACAAAUUCUGACUUCUCACUUUUGAGAAGGACUUUUGAUAAGUCAUAAGUUAAAAAGGAAUCCCAAACACCCCCUCGGUAGAUGGGUCUGGUGGUGAAGAAAAAGAAAAAGAGAGUUGCGGUUUAAUUUUAUAUUUAAAUAGUAAUUGUGGGCCCACUUGUGUUUAAUGAUAAAUUAGAUUUUUUUUGUU